RNAcentral lists this long non-coding RNA (553 nucleotides) under Panax ginseng (ginseng). Its description in RNAcentral is "long non-coding RNA (PGIN_LNC014694)". The record is from RNAcentral. Lineage: Eukaryota; Viridiplantae; Streptophyta; Magnoliopsida; Apiales; Araliaceae.
AUUUUUAAUUUUCUGGGGUAGAAAUUAGUUUAUAUAUUUCUAAUUUUAUUUUUGUGUGUGUUAAGGAUGCCUUGUUUAUAGAUGAGUGAAUAGGUGGCAUAAAAAUAUGUGAAAGGGUAAUUUUGUGUAUGAUGCUAAGUUGCAGUUUUCUGACCGUGUUUACUAUUAACAGCUCUAGUUUUAUUGUGGAUACUGUUUUAUUGUUUUUUGUUCAUAACUUUGUUUUAAUUGGUGUAACCACAAGGGAAUUUGAUAAUUUCACAAGACUUUUCUCACAUGAAUAGUAAAUGGGAUCCACAUUUACGGCUUUGUAGAAAUAUCAAAUUUCUCUCGUAGAAAUAACAAUUCCCCAUCCUUAAAUGCUUCCAAAUUGUGUGUUAUUUCAUUCUGAGAAACUUUAUUUAUUUAUUAGUUUAGUUUAGUUUAGUUUUUAUACUCCUUCCGUCCCACAAAAGGAGUCCGGUUUUGAUUCUAAAGUCAAUUCAUGAAAUCUGAAAUUUAAAAAUUGAUGUGAAUAGAACAAUUUUUUUUUUAAUUUAGUAUUACUUAGAUG